UACGUAGGGUGCAAGCGUUGUCCGGAAUUAUUGGGCGUAAAGAGCUCGUAGGCGGUUUGUCGCGUCUGCUGUGAAAACUCGGGGCUUAACCCCGGGCCUGCAGUGGGUACGGGCAGACUAGAGUACGGUAGGGGAGACUGGAAUUCCUGGUGUAGCGGUGAAAUGCGCAGAUAUCAGGAGGAACACCGGUGGCGAAGGCGGGUCUCUGGGCCGUAACUGACGCUGAGGAGCGAAAGCGUGGGGAGCGAACAGG
This 253-nucleotide ribosomal RNA is filed under the name uncultured bacterium. RNAcentral describes it as "partial 16S ribosomal RNA". It matches the Rfam family "Bacterial small subunit ribosomal RNA", at positions 524 to 776 of the family's 1533-position model. The record is from RNAcentral.